Molecule: non-coding RNA, 75 nt
Organism: Canis lupus familiaris (dog)
Lineage: Eukaryota; Metazoa; Chordata; Mammalia; Carnivora; Canidae
Source: Rfam
UAGAACAGUGAUAAAAAAUGUUGGCAUAGGAGUUUUUCAUGUUUGGUUGCUACAUGUCUGGAGCUCUGAGUCAAC